UGGGGAUGACGUCAAGUCCUCAUGGCCCUUAUGUCCAGGGCUACACACGUGCUACAAUGGCCGGUACAAAGGGGCGCAAGACCGCGAGGUGGAGCAAAUCCCAAAAAACCGGUCUCAGUUCGGAUUGGAGUCUGCAACUCGACUCCAUGAAGUUGGAAUCGCUAGUAAUCGCGUAUCAGCAUGACGCGGUGAAUACGUUCCCGGGCCUU
RNAcentral lists this ribosomal RNA (209 nucleotides) under uncultured Desulfuromonas sp. RNAcentral's name for it is "partial 16S ribosomal RNA". It matches the Rfam family "Bacterial small subunit ribosomal RNA", at positions 1174 to 1382 of the family's 1533-position model. Lineage: Bacteria; Pseudomonadati; Thermodesulfobacteriota; Desulfuromonadia; Desulfuromonadales; Desulfuromonadaceae. The record is from RNAcentral.